RNAcentral lists this long non-coding RNA (1194 nucleotides) under Marmota monax (woodchuck). Lineage: Eukaryota; Metazoa; Chordata; Mammalia; Rodentia; Sciuridae. The record is from RNAcentral.
UGAAGUAAAUGUCUUCUUGACCGUGAGGGUGGCACCGUUGAACACACAGUCUUCUAGCAGGUAGUGUGCUUUCCAGGAAGGAGCCCCUUCUUCUCACAGGUGGCCGGAAGCACCCUACUAUGGGUCAUCAAGUCUACCGAUAUCAGCUCCAGCGCCUGUCGGAGGAAGGUACCUUCAAACCAUGGAGUGAAAUCCAGUUUUUCCUCCCAAAUGCCAGCUGGAUCUUCUGAGGAUGAUUUGCUGUCUUGCUGUGAAUGUGCCACUUGAUGUCACCUCCUAAAGCUCCUGACCUGGUAAACCGGCUGCCAGCAGCCUGUAAGGGCCGAUGGACAGCCCGUCAGAGCCAGGGACCGCGGGGGACUCCAGGUUCAAAGGUGAGAAUCUUCCUGCUUCACACUUGUGGCCCCAGCAUCUGGAGAGACUUUGGAGAAUGGAGACUCCAUGGUGUACCCAGCACGUCUCCCACGCUCUUGUCCUUUUGCCCAGCCGCCCAGCUCAGCUUGGGAUGGCCAGUGGCAGACAGGAGGAGCAGGCCUCCUUGCUAGCCAUGCCUGCUGGGCAGCAGCGGUUUCUGUCAUUACAGCAGGCCCCAGCUCACAGGGGCAGGAUGAAGAGGAUACUUGGGUCCUGUCCCUGCAGUCAUACCUAUUAAGGACAUUUAAGUCACAUUUAAGGCACUGAGACCAAAUGGCUCUAAAUUGCUUUGCAGUUAAUCAUUGUGAAGAGGCAGAGCCCACCUGGGAGGUAAAUCACACAGAAAUGUCUCCGAGAUGACAUUAAUCAACCCUGGUGUCAUGCUUUCUGGGUAGAGACUGAGGAGACUGAGUGACAUGGGAAGAGCAGGCCCGGGCACCAGGGUGGACAAAGUGUCCAGAGUCCUCAAGGGUACAGGUGGAAGCCUGGGUUUCUAGAAAGCAGAUCCAGCUCCCACACAGACACACUGGGAUUCCCUUUGAUUAAAUUGUGUCAUGUUCAACAACCUUUGCACAGAAAAAGGAAGGAGAGGACCAGACUCCAGCAUUAAUCAUUUAUUUGUGUGGACCUGAUCAUGGCCGAGGAUGAGAAGGAAAUGAUUCUACUCACUAUUGGCUUCCUGAGAGGCAAGGAAGGGCCCCCAGAGUAAGGAGGGUGAGCCCAGAGCUCCACACAAUCCAGAUGAGGAAGACAGGGCAUGCAGUGUCCACCCUGAUGGCC